UGCGUAGGGUGCGAGCGUUAAUCGGAAUUACUGGGCGUAAAGCGUGCGCAGGCGGUUCGUUGUGUCUGAUGUGAAAGCCCCGGGCUUAACCUGGGAAUGGCAUUGGAAACUGGCGAGCUGGAGUGUGGCAGAGGGGGGUGGAAUUCCGCGUGUAGCAGUGAAAUGCGUAGAGAUGCGGAGGAACACCGAUGGCGAAGGCAGCCCCCUGGGCCAACACUGACGCUCAGGCACGAAAGCGUGGGGAGCAAACAGG
Molecule: ribosomal RNA, 253 nt
Filed under: uncultured bacterium
Lineage: Bacteria
Description: partial 16S ribosomal RNA
Rfam family: Bacterial small subunit ribosomal RNA
Source: RNAcentral